CCUGUCCCUGGAAGCAUUACAGGUCUGGCUGUGGUGUCACAUGUGUAUCAGUAGUUGGCAGAGAGGAGAGAAGCUGUGUCUGUGCUUAUUGUUCUGAUCUAUGAACGUCUGAAUGAUUAAUAACCUAAUAUU
This is a small nucleolar RNA of Grammomys surdaster, 132 nucleotides long. RefSeq annotates it as small nucleolar RNA SNORA17. Lineage: Eukaryota; Metazoa; Chordata; Mammalia; Rodentia; Muridae. The transcript has a single exon. The record is from RefSeq and is a predicted model, not a curated record.